UACCGGUCCUCCGCCCCCAAAUCCCGCAUCCCCUACAAUCAUGGAAGGCAAUCGUCCCGAUCCUCAAAUCACACAAAUGAUUUCCUUCCAUGCAUCAUAUCCUGCCUCCUGCCGCUUCUAAACUCAAACACACGCACAAGAAGCCUCAUCGUGGAUCAUGUAAAAAUUGCAGGUGCUACAAUCAGGGGCCCAGCUGCCGUCCUUGGGAGCGGCUCGCCGCCCGGCGCUCCUGCACUCGGCCGCCGCCUAACGCACACCGGCCCCUCCUUAAGGGCGGAGUCUGCGACUGCUAGGCCAUGUGGGAGUGCGGGUGACUCGACUCGAGGCGGUCGGGAUGCGGGAUCCAGGUGUCGGCGGCGCAUCUCGCGAGAUCAGUGGAAGGCGCCGACGGCGACAACGAGGCGACAUGGAGGAGCUCGGGGACGACGCCGGCACUUCUGUAGAUGCUGGGAAUAGGCAGAGGUGACCAGAUCUGGGGCGGCGGCGACAGUUGCAGACGACUUCGGUGGUGGCGUGAUGCCUCCUGCACGGCUGCAUCGGUGGUUAGAGAAUGAAGGAGGAGGAGAGAAAAGAAAAGAGGAGGGCGUGGUGGCGUGGCUCACCGUUUGGUCGCCGGCGGCGGAGGAAGACCCGUGUUUUACCUUCGACGGAUUGUGAGGCCCAAGAAGUUUCAAUGAAAAGAGGAGAUAGCGUUCGUACACAUCACCAGAACCAUAAAGUUCGCUGGAUAUAUAAGUGUAACAUAUCCAUUACAGUGGGGAGCACAAGCUUUUGAUGCUGGUCUUGGCAUUUGUUGGCCUUGCUCAACUGAAGUCUUCUCCGGCAUUGUGUGUGUCUUAAACUCUUAAUUUAGGUCCAACAUUUGGUGAAGGUAUUGCUAUCCAUUUUUUUAGGUUGAAUCUAUGUUCCGAGCACUGGUCAUCAAAAUGGAGUUUCUGCGUUUUCUUCGUACUGGUGAUCACGUGUUCGACCUAAUGCUUGAUCGCUAGCAGUUCUAUUUAACUCCACUAAUUAACUUCUAUGUCAAUAUUGGCCUGCAACUUGGCAACAAAUGGCAGAAAUGACACAACUAUGAGGGCGCCAUUUUAUCCUCCGUGCUUUCUGUUUUUGAUGAUCAUAGAACAGUGAAAGGGGACAAGGCUGCACAUAAAUUUCAUGCUUAGGAAUGAUUUCAAUCUUUCCAUUCCUCAUAACAGUGAGAAGGGCAAUAAGGCUACACUUACAAACUGUGUUCAUGAAAUCAAUAUCAUCAACCAGCAACUCCAAGAUUCAAGUGUGGAUGCGAGUGUGUUUCAGAUUUUAGUCUUCAUACUCCCUUCAGGCUGUUAUCUCUACAGUCUGACGCUGGCUGCUUCUCACUUUUAUGGAUGACGGACUUGGUUUUCUCAUAGUGAAAGUCAUUUAUUGAAUUUUAUUGGUACUGAAAUGGUAUUUGCAUGUGUGUCUGCGCAAAUGGAGAAUAGUGGUGAACCCUUUAAAUUAUUCAUUGUCCAACAAGGGAAUCGAGCUUCUAUUGGAUAAAAUUGUAAUAAUAUGACUUGCAAAUUUUGAAUGAUUGUAUAUUUGACGAAAAAUACGAUUGCCUGAAGUCUUAAUAUAUGUAUGUUUGUCUAGACGUGC
Triticum aestivum (bread wheat) is the source of this 1620-nucleotide long non-coding RNA. RefSeq lists it as uncharacterized. Lineage: Eukaryota; Viridiplantae; Streptophyta; Magnoliopsida; Poales; Poaceae. The record is from RefSeq and is a predicted model, not a curated record. The transcript is spliced from 6 exons.